RNAcentral lists this ribosomal RNA (778 nucleotides) under uncultured Neocallimastigales. RNAcentral describes it as "partial large subunit ribosomal RNA". It matches the Rfam family "Eukaryotic large subunit ribosomal RNA", at positions 23 to 632 of the family's 3401-position model. The record is from RNAcentral. Lineage: Eukaryota; Fungi; Neocallimastigomycota; Neocallimastigomycetes; Neocallimastigales.
GAGACUCUGUGCGCGUGCAUAUCAAUAAGCGGAGGAAAAGAAACUAACUAGGAUUCCCUUAGUAACGGCGAGUGAAGCGGGAAGAGCUCAAAUUUGGAAAUCUUCAAGGUUCUACCUUGACGAAUUGUAGUUUAUAAGAAGUGUUUUCUGUUAGUGGAGUUGGCUAAAAGCUCUUUGGAAUAGGACAUCAUAGAGGGUGAGAAUCCCGUAUUUGGUCAUUCCUCCUAGCGUUGUGAUACACUUUCAACGAGUCGGAUUGUUUGGGAAUGCAGUCCAAAAUGGGUGGUAAAUUUCAUCUAAAGCUAAAUAUUGGCGAGAGACCGAUAGCGAACAAGUACCGUGAGGGAAAGAUGAAAAGAACUUUGAAAAGAGAGUUAAACAGUACGUGAAAUUGUCAAAAGGGAAGCGUUUGACACCAGUGUUGUUUUUCCGAAAAUCAAUUACGAAUGUUUUGUUUUUGAGGAGUUAUGACUUCAUCGGCUUGCUCCUUUCUUUAUGAAACUUUCUUAAUGCACUUUUCGGUUAACAAGUCGACAUCAAUUUCUUUUGUUGUAAAAGGGUAUGAGGAAGGUGGCUUUCUUUUCGGAGAAAGUGUUUAUAGCCUUGUGCCUCUGCAAUCGGAGAGAUUGAGGUCUGUAGCGUAGAUCCUUCGGGGUUAGAUACAUUUGUGCUAAGUUAUAGCUUUUCAUAGACAACUUGUUGACUAUGUUAAGUCUUGUAGCUUACUCGCUUAUGCUAUUUUACCUACGCUUAGGAUGUUGACAGCAGUAUAGACUGU